ACUUACCUACGGGACGCAGCAGUGAGGAAUAUUGGUCAAUGGUCGGGAGACUGAACCAGCUAAGCCGCGUGAGGGAGGAAGGUACAGAGUAUCGUAAACCUCUUUUGUCAGGGAACAAAGACUGGGACGCGUCCCCGGAUGAGUGUACCUGAAGAAAAAGCAUCGGCUAACUCCGUGCCAGCAGCCGCGGUAAUACGGAGGAUGCGAGCGUUAUCCGGAUUUAUUGGGUUUAAAGGGUGCGCAGGCGGUCUGUUAAGUCAGCGGUCAAAGCCCGGGGCUCAACCCCGGCCCGCCGUUGAAACUGG
This 305-nucleotide ribosomal RNA is filed under the name uncultured bacterium. Its description in RNAcentral is "bacterial SSU rRNA". It matches the Rfam family "Bacterial small subunit ribosomal RNA", at positions 333 to 636 of the family's 1533-position model. The record is from RNAcentral.